Salvelinus fontinalis (brook trout) is the source of this 1553-nucleotide long non-coding RNA. RefSeq lists it as uncharacterized. The record is from RefSeq and is a predicted model, not a curated record. The transcript is spliced from 2 exons. Lineage: Eukaryota; Metazoa; Chordata; Actinopteri; Salmoniformes; Salmonidae.
GAAUAUCUGGGGACAGGAGCAGAACCACUAUUAUAGACAUGGGAGGCUCAACAACUAUGCAAAACAGCACUCUAUAGGCUGCUGGGUGUGUGAAACAGAGAAAGGGAAGGAGAGAGAGAGACAGAGAGAAAAAGAGAGAGCGACAGAGAGAAAAACAGACAGACAGACAGACACACAGAAGGAGAAAGAAAGGAACAGAGAGAGAGAUACUUAUAUUACUAUUAUUUUGCUGUUGUGAGUCAUUCCAAUCUAGUGGUCAACUAUAGGAGGACAACCAAAUAUUGUAUUAAAGGGAUGAACCUCCCACUGGAAUUCUGUUGCUCUGAUGUUAAUGUCCGGGAUCCAAGACGAGACCAAUGGAGACAGGUGAUGCUUACUGGAGCCUUAUUAUCUACAGUAAAUAAAUGGCUCUGAUAUUUUCAGCUUGAUGGCGCCCUCUUGUUUUAAAAUGUCAUCAUGCUGAAGAUUAGUUCAGACAGAGCAUAAAAAGUUAUUUGUCAAACAGUGGCAGGGUCAGUCUGUUGGUAGAAUUACAGACUGGGCCUGCAAACUGUUUAUUGCUUUUUAAAAAUAAAUAAAUAGAUAGGUGUGCAAUGACAGAACAGUAUCAACAUCACCAGAUAUUAGUAUCAUAAUGGUUAACUGAAUUUGACUGCUGGUAAUAAAAAGUGAAUUUCAUUGGGUGUUGCUGUCAGAGUUAUCAACAGUUAAGAGUUCCGACUGGGAAGUUUCACGUGAACGGACAUGCACCAUACAGACAGAUAGAGGACUCAUCUUGAUAUUCGUGCCAUUGUAGCGUGUGAUAGCAUGGGCAAUUCCAUUCAGGAAUUACCACCCAGUUGACUACUUUGACUACUAAAAUGUUAUUUUGGCCACUAGAGGCCUCUAUCAUUCUCUAUGACAUGAACAUUCUUAUGAAGUGAUCAAGGUCAGCCAUUUUGGUCAGGGAGUUGGUCAAUCAUGGUUUGCCAGAGUUGUGUUUAAGAUAUUGUGUAAAAUAAUACAUUUGUUGAAUGUAUCUGCACUAUAUGUUUACUAGCUAGCUAGCCAGACAGUUUAAGAGGAAUGACUGUAUUAAUCCCCGAGCUGACAAGGUAAAACUCUGUCGUUCUGCCCCUGAACAAGGCAGUUAACCCAUUGUUCCUUAGUCGUCAUAAGAAUUUGUUCUUAACUGACUUGCCUAGUUAAAUAAAGUUUUUUUUUUUAUGUUCACAUUAAUUGCCAAUAUACCCACGUUCCAUUUAUAAAUGCAAUCAAUUCAUAGCAAUACAAUGCCUCAAAUCAGUUGAUGAUUGGACUUGACAGGUACUGAUAUUGUAUCAUAUAAUAGCACAGCUUUCCAAGAAGACCACAAAUUCAACAUUUAUGGUCUUGUUUACAUAUACUUUAGAGGCUAUUUAUGUAGAACAUUUGUAUAAAAACUGAAUUAACUGUAUUAAUUAAUGAUGAUAUGACAAUAUUUUAGGUUGACAGAAAUUCUAUUACACAAUUUCUGAUACAUCACAUUCCUUACUUGUAUUUUCCUGCAUAAUUAAAACCAGAUUAUGCCUCUA